GCCCACCUGGCGGAAUCGGUAGACGCAGAGGACUUAAAAUCCUUCGGGCGAAAGCCCGUCCGGGUUCAACUCCCGGGGUGGGCACCA
Molecule: transfer RNA, 87 nt
Filed under: Myxococcales bacterium
Lineage: Bacteria; Pseudomonadati; Myxococcota; Myxococcia; Myxococcales
Also listed under: 1 other name
Description: tRNA-Leu
Rfam family: tRNA
About the family: Transfer RNA (tRNA) molecules are approximately 80 nucleotides in length. Their secondary structure includes four short double-helical elements and three loops (D, anti-codon, and T loops).
Source: RNAcentral